CCUACGGGGGGCAGCAGUGAGGAAUAUUGGUCAAUGGCCGGAAGCCUGAACCAGCCAAGCCGCGUGAGGGACGACUGUCCUGUGGGUUGUAAACCUCUUUUAUCAGGGAAGAAUAAAUGCGACGUGUAGCAUGAUGCCUGUACCUUAUGAAUAAGCAUCGGCUAACUCCGUGCCAGCAGCCGCGGUAAUACGGAGGAUGCGAGCGUUAUCCGGAUUUAUUGGGUUUAAAGGGUGCGUAGGCGGUUUUUGAAGUUAGUGGUUAAACGUCGGGGCUUCCACUUGAUUUGCCAUUAAUACGGUAAGAAUCGAGGUGAGACGAGGUAGGGGGAAUAAGUUAAGUAGCGGUGAAAGGGUUAGAUAUA
This 362-nucleotide ribosomal RNA is filed under the name uncultured bacterium. RNAcentral describes it as "partial 16S ribosomal RNA". It matches the Rfam family "Bacterial small subunit ribosomal RNA", at positions 338 to 698 of the family's 1533-position model. The record is from RNAcentral.